RNAcentral lists this long non-coding RNA (316 nucleotides) under Nicotiana benthamiana. RNAcentral describes it as "long non-coding RNA (NBEN_LNC007083)". Lineage: Eukaryota; Viridiplantae; Streptophyta; Magnoliopsida; Solanales; Solanaceae. The record is from RNAcentral.
AGAAACGAGACUCAAAGAAAUCUGAAGCGGAGAUUCGCAAAUCAUUCACAAAACAACCAUUAAAGCAUGAAAGGUCAACAAACAUAAACAACUUACGGGAAGAUGAACAAAGAAACAGGGGAAAUGAAAAGUUUGAACCUCGAAAAAGCGGGCAGAAUCCCGAAUAACACUAUUUGAACGAACAAUUCACGGGAACCUCGAUAUGGCGACGAACUGGUCGGAAAUAGUGGACGCACUUAGAUCAGAACCAACGAGUGACAACCCCAAAAUUCGAACAUGUUCUCGACUUUAUACAGCUUCGAACAUAAUUUGAAAU